AUGAACGCUGGCGGCGUGCCUAAUACAUGCAAGUCGAGCGAACAGAUGAGGAGCUUGCUCCUCUGACGUUAGCGGCGGACGGGUGAGUAACACGUGGAUAACCUACCUAUAAGACUGGGAUAACUUCGGGAAACCGGAGCUAAUACCGGAUAAUAUAUUGAAUCGCAUGGUUCAAUAGUGAAAGACGGUUUUGCUGUCACUUAUAGAUGGAUCCGCGCCGCAUUAGCUAGUUGGUAAGGUAACGGCUUACCAAGGCAACGAUGCGUAGCCGACCUGAGAGGGUGAUCGGCCCCACUGGAACUGAGACACGGUCCAGACUCCUACGGGAGGCAGCAGUAGGGAAUCUUCCGCAAAGGGCGAAAGCCUGACGGAGCAACGCCGCGUGAGUUAUGAAGGUCUUCGGAUCGUAAAACUCUGUUAUUAGGGAAGAACAAAUGUGUAAGUAACUAUGCACGUCUUGACGGUACCUAAUCAGAAAGCCACGGCUAACUACGUG
This 496-nucleotide ribosomal RNA is filed under the name uncultured bacterium. RNAcentral describes it as "partial 16S ribosomal RNA". It matches the Rfam family "Bacterial small subunit ribosomal RNA", at positions 29 to 507 of the family's 1533-position model. The record is from RNAcentral.